Mytilus trossulus (common blue mussel) is the source of this 602-nucleotide long non-coding RNA. RefSeq lists it as uncharacterized. The transcript has 3 exons. The record is from RefSeq and is a predicted model, not a curated record. NCBI's taxonomy places the organism in Eukaryota, Metazoa, Mollusca, Bivalvia, Mytilida, Mytilidae.
ACUUGUACACUGCAACUACAAUAUGUCAACAAGCGGCAUUUGUUUUUGACUUGGAUUUGACCCAGUGGAACUUAAAACUGGAUGAAAUGGUGAUCGAAGAGAAGUCCGAAAAAAGAAAGCAAUGGUUAUUUAUCCGUUUAUACCACUAGAGCAGCAAAAUUGAGUGAUAAUGUCUGGAAGUAACUGUGUGAUAUGCAACGAACCUUUGGAGAAUGGGCAACUUCUGAUAACGAUAAGAGAAAAAGGUGCAAAAACAAUCAAUGAAGUAAGCAGCAAACAUAGACAUCAAAACGUAUUUGUUGUAGCCGGCCAAAUACUACACCAAGAAUGUCGAAAAAAAUAUACUAAUGCUAAAGAGAUUCAGAAAAUUGGUAAAGAGAAUGCUGAUAACGAUAGAUUUGAUCGACUCACGCGAUCAUCACAGUAUUUUGAUUUUAGAGAACACUGUUUGUUUUGUGGACAGUCAGCGCAAAUGUCAGAUAGAAAAUAUGGAAUAGAAGUAUAUCCAGUGAGAACUUUUGAAUUCCAACAGAAAAUUGAUGCAAUAUGCAAAGACAGAAAAGAUUCAUGGGCUGCUGACGUUUUGGCAAAACUUGAAUAUG